UAAAAGCCGCUUUCUUUGCUCCUCCCUUCUUGCUGCUCUUCUUAGCAGCAGACGAAUCAAUAGCGGCUUGGACUUCCACUUCAUCUUCCGCUCCAGGAUCUAGAACAGGAUAAUCAUCAUCCAUGGAGGCCUUCUUGUCCUUCUUCCCUUUCUUCCCUUUCUUCUUGCCAGCAAACGUGAUAGUCUCCUCUUCCUCGGCUUCGUCCACAUCAGGAACGACUGGGCUCACUGAAGCCACUUCACCAUCGGAAGCAUCUUCAUCCAACAUACUAAACCCCCCUUUCUUCGCUCCUCCCUUCUUCUUAUUCCUCUUAGCAGACGACAGAUCGGCAGCUUCUUCAACUUCUUCAGCUUUGGCUUCUGCUUCCAGAUCGAGAAUGGGAUAAUCAUCAUCCAUAGAGGCCUUCUUGUCCUUCUUCCCUUUCUUCCCUUUCUUCUUGCCAGCAAACGUGAUAGUCUCCUCUUCCUCGGCUUCGUCCACAGCAGGAACGACUGGGCUCGCUGAAGCAACUUCGUCGUCGGACAUGUCCUCGUCUAAUA
RNAcentral lists this long non-coding RNA (540 nucleotides) under Physcomitrium patens. RNAcentral describes it as "long non-coding RNA (PPAT_LNC003135)". The record is from RNAcentral. Lineage: Eukaryota; Viridiplantae; Streptophyta; Bryopsida; Funariales; Funariaceae.